Molecule: long non-coding RNA, 2230 nt
Organism: Hyaena hyaena (striped hyena)
Lineage: Eukaryota; Metazoa; Chordata; Mammalia; Carnivora; Hyaenidae
Exons: 2
Source: RefSeq, a predicted model, not a curated record
UCCCAUGCUCCACCCACUGAGCUGGCCAGGGGCCCCUGGGUGCCCUUUUAAAACAGAGCCUGAGGUCAGCUGCUCACUGCCACACUACUGACAUUUGGGGCAGGGUCAUGCUUUGUUGGGGAAGGGGGCUGUCUUGUGCACUGAAGGUUUAAUGGCAUCCCGUCUCUACCCACGGGAUACGGAUAAGACUCUCCACCCCCCUCUUCCACCCAAACCGGCUCCAGACAUUGUUAAAUUGCCCCCACUUGAGAAACACUGCAGUAGAAGACCCAAACGGAAGGUGCCAGGAGGGGAGGGGGCCUGGAUGAGCCAGCUCUCGUCUCAAGAGAGGCUGGCUGCUCUCAGAUCUAUGAGCCAAUUUGCUUCUCUGCCUGUAGGCUUCUACAACCUGCAGCCUGUCCAGCAGCUGUCUGCACCCAAGUUCCUAGGUCCACCAGUUUCUGGGAGCUCUACAUUUUGGGAUCUUUUCUCCUGGCCCCCCUACCCCCCAUCACCAGUGGAGUCCUGUUGUGUGUGCAUUUAACGUGCUGGCAAGGAGAUAAAAAGGAAACUGAAAUAGAGCAGGCCCCGCGUAGGCCAUAGGCACCUGAUAUUCAAUACUGUUGGCAAAACCUAAACAAAGACUGGCGUGGGUACUGACCGGAAGAGAAAACUGGCGGCCAGGCACACGGGCCACAAUGGCGCACUCAAUGCAGGUCGUUACAGAAAUGAGAGAAUUAAUGGAGGGCCGUAGUGAAAUAGUGACUCAAGGGUUAGAGGAGCUGAUGAAGUCAUCCACGGAAGACAGCAGAUGAUGGAAAUAAGAACCUACAAAUUGGAUCACCUUAAACUGGCCGAACGCUUCAUUCUGUAACGUAACGGUUCUUCAGAAUGAGAUGUGGGACAUCCGUCACCAAUAUGGCCCAAAGUCAUCCCUUUGGAAUACAGGACACAACUGUACCCAGGAAACGUGGCGCACCUGACUUUUUAGGCAAUUACAAGGGUGACCUGACGGUAUUCAAUUUUGUCUUUCUGCUCUAACUUUACACUCGAACAGCCGACAGCAUGGCCCUCCACCAAGUAUGGAAACAAAACUGAAGCUAACAACCUGAUUGAAGCCGUGUAAAAAACGAUCGUCGUUGAACUAGCUGGAGAAUGGUUCCUGCCUUAAAACAAGACACAACACACACACGCAACACCCACCUACGUACACCUACGUAGUAGGCUUUUUUUUGUUUAUCGCUGCCUUUUUUUCAUAAGCAUAUAGAUGAACCCUGGCCUGAGCACGGUGAUAGCCGUGGGUCAGAACAUCUGGUUCCAUGACUUAUUCAAACAGCGGCUGUUGAAUUUCUCAGCGGAACAGAGGAAAAACACACCUAAUGUAUUAAAUGGGGACCUAUGCCUUGGAAGCAUCUAUUUCCAGUUGCUGAGAAGAGAAAAGAACCAAAGGGGCUCGGAGCUGGUGGGAAACAUGGUCAGCCAAUGACGGGGGGGUGAGUCUUUUGUCAGAUUGUCAGUGUCAAGGUAAGAGGACCGAGGUUUCUCCAGAAUCUGAGAGACUUCUGAAGCCAGGCCCUCUCCACCUGUAUGGGAGGCAGGAAACAGAUUCUCUCUGCUCCAUGGGAAGAAGGCCAGGAAGAGGCAGAAAGCAAGCUUGGCAGGUCAGAGUCAUGGACAGCCAUAGGGAUAGGACCAGAGUCUGGACUUUCAGGCCAGAGUUUGCUUUCAACUUGAAUUUCUCUGAGCAAAAGCUUUACUGACUGGGUGUAAUUAAUAGUAGCACUCCCUUCCUUCUCUUUUGAGAGUGUUCUGAUGUGGAAAUAAAUUCUACGGUCAGUUCUAUUUAUGUCCCACUUCUAAAGGAAGGGAUGCGUUCUUUCUUUCCCAGGUUAUAGCAAAGGUGGAGAACUGUGGACUCAGGGCUCAGAGACAAACUCUGCUGUCAAUACUUCUAUAGACCGUCUGUGUGACCUUGGAGAAGUCAUCUCAUUUCUAUUAAAAAAUGACCAGCAGGUGGACUUUUGCCUUUCCUGGUCUGAGUCUAUAAACAGAUUAGUAAAGUAACAGGGCAGGGGUUUUCCUAGGAAUAAAAGUACUAGAUAAUGACUCUGCAACCAUUUUUAAAUGCAAGGAGCACAAACAGGCUCUUUGAAACCCGAUCUCCCACCUUCUGGGAACUGUGAAUCCCUUAACCUAUUAGCUCCUUACAUCUCCUCCUGGCUUUAAAAUUAAAUCUUAUUCCACAGUGUCA